Oryza sativa Japonica Group (Japanese rice) is the source of this 2357-nucleotide non-coding RNA. Lineage: Eukaryota; Viridiplantae; Streptophyta; Magnoliopsida; Poales; Poaceae. The record is from RefSeq and is a predicted model, not a curated record.
CGCCUAAAAUCCGAACGGUCCAGAUCGAUCCUGCCUCCACCCCCCUCAAUCAGCGCACCGCUCCCGCACCUCCGCCCUCCGCCAGAACACCGCUCCCGCACCUCCGCCAUCACCGCUCCGCUCCGUAUCAGCCGCCGCGCCGUCCUCUGCAUCGCCUGUCCUCCGCCACCCCGCCGCACGAGGUGCUCCCGUCGCCAGGUAGCCGCCGCGCCGUCAUCUGCAUCGCCUGUCUCCACCGAUCCCCUCCGCACGAGGUGCUCCCGUCGCCAGGUCGCCGCCGACGCCUUCCGCGGUGAUCCGAUCUGCCAUCGAAUCCCCGCCGCCGGCUCGUCCUCCAAGAUCCCCAUCGGCCUGUCCUCCGCCUCCUCGCCGCACGAAUUCCUCACGUCGCCAGGUCGCCGCCACCGAUCUGCUCCACCGAUCCCCGCCGCACGAGGUGCUCCCGUCGCCAGGUCGCCGCCGACGCCUUCCGCGGUGAUCCGAUCCCCGUCGCCUGUCCGCGGUGAUCAGAAAUUUCAUCGCAGCGCCUCCGCCAGGGCAGAGCAGUUGAGAAGGUAGAAUCUCCAAUUCAAGGGGCUCUGCGCCUUGUUCCUCAACAAGAGAAGGGCUAAACUGAAUUGGAGAAAGAUGUUCCGAAGUACUGUGAUAAGAAUUCAAAUAGUGUGAAGUGCAGGAAACCAAGGAGGGAUCCAGUCCCUGUUCGCUGCCGCCCCUCAUCUCCGCAUCCACGCCGCCAGAUCGCCGUCGCUCGGAUUCUGGUACAUAACGUCGCCAAUCUGCUCUCCGCUGCACAACUCCAUUGCAUCUCUCGCCAGUCUGCUCCGCCAACACGCUGUUCCACCUCCUCCGCCUCAAGCGCCACCACGACCAACACAAAUCCCCUACGCCAGUUAAUUUUUAAAAAACAUUGAGGUGCGCAUGGACGCAAAUCGGGAGGACGGUGGAGCUCGCAAAUCCCUCGGAGAUAUAACAAACCACCGUCAAGGUGUACAUAUAAUGGAUAGUUCGUUGUGUACAACGCAGGUCUUGUCCUUUUCAGUAUGACUAUAGUGUUAAUAAAAAAAUGCAGGUCAUGUGGAUCAAUUUGGGCUAUCCAAUGAGUCUCAGCGUAAAAAGGAAAGAAACUUCAAACAACGUAUAUAUCGUGCAAAUCUGGAGGCUAAGAAGAAAUGUAGUACAAGUCCUAUGCAAACAACGCAUGUGUCAGAGUAUGAAGAAUGUGAUAGUGCCGAGGUCAAUGUUGCUGAAAUUGCCACCUCAACAAAGAGGGAAAAAAAUAACAGCUAUCUACGUGAGUGGCGUGCAAGAAAUAGAGCAAAGUCGAGUGUUGUUAAUAGCACUGUAACAUCCGUCAAUCCAACUCAAGCAACAACUACAUCUGAAAUAAACCAGAGUGAAGGGGGUGUGGUAGGGACAAGUGAACUUUCUGCAAAGAAAAAGAGAGAGGAUACAAACAAGUAUCUUCGUGAAUGGCGUGCAAGAAAGAAGGCCAAAUCAACAGAUGGAUGCAAUACUGUAUCUUCUGGCACGCCAAUGCAGUCAACUAUUAUGACCCCCGAAGAACACAAUGAAGAUGGUGCUGUUCAGCGAUCUUCAAUCUACCCUAUAGUUAAACAAAUACUUUCACUCAUUCUUUCAUUCAUCACUCAACGUCCAGAUUAUCCCCAAGAGAUCUAACGUCCGGGAUAGCAUCCGCCUUCCCUCACCCCUACGCCCCCGAAAUCGUCGCACUUUCCUUCCAAUCGCGAAAUCCAUCUCCUCCGCCAGUUCUCUCGCCCAUCGCGCCUAUGCACGUCGCCGCCCCCGUCGUCUCCCGGCGCUCGCGCCCCCACCCGCCGUCCAGACCGCAUCGCCCACUCCGCCGUCGCACGCCGCACACCACACCCGCCCUCCCACCCCGCCAGUUGUCCCCUCCACUCACCACUCCGCCGUUCAUCGCCCUUCUCGCUGGUCUCCUCCGCACCGCCCCCGAUCUUCACCAGGAACUCCGCCUCGUCGGUCUCCUCCGUGCCGCCCCCAAUCUCCGGCUCGUCGACUGUCUCCGUGCAACCACCAAUCUCUGCUUUCAGAACAGUGUCGCCCCAUCCUCGAUCUGAUUCGCCGAAAUUAAGGAUUAGGGAUUAUUGAUACAACAUCCGGCAACCUCCACCUCGGGGGGCCACACCGGCGCCGCCGAAGCCCACCCUCGACAUCUCCGUGCCGCCACCGACCGUCGAGGACAACACCAGUGACACCACGCCGAUCUCCUCCGUGGCCACUACCCACCGGCGCUGCCACACGCACCGCCACCACCACAUUGCUGCGGCGUCUCCCAACCCAUGUUCGUCUCAUCUCCACCGUCUAUCCCCAAACUGUAU